RNAcentral lists this ribosomal RNA (309 nucleotides) under Triticum aestivum (bread wheat). Its description in RNAcentral is "partial small subunit ribosomal RNA". The record is from RNAcentral. Lineage: Eukaryota; Viridiplantae; Streptophyta; Magnoliopsida; Poales; Poaceae.
AUGGGGAAUGACUCGUAUGCUUCUAUUCAUGAUGUUGACACGGUUGAUCUGAAGUUUACUUCGGCAAAGAUCAUGGAACUGAAGAACGUGCAACAUGUCCCCGCCAUCAAGAAGAAUCUCGUUAUGACUCUUCUAUGUAAAGAAGGUUUAAUUUUAGUAUUCGAUUCAAAUGAAGUAGUUGUAUCUCGGUAUGGACUAUUUGUUGGAAAAGGAUAUGAUUACGGAGUUUUGUUCCACCUUCCCCUAGCAGAUUUAUGUAAUAAAGUUGUGGACCAAAUUCAUUCUAGUGUGAACGAAUAUGAGGUUUGA